RNAcentral lists this ribosomal RNA (253 nucleotides) under uncultured bacterium. Its description in RNAcentral is "partial 16S ribosomal RNA". It matches the Rfam family "Bacterial small subunit ribosomal RNA", at positions 524 to 776 of the family's 1533-position model. The record is from RNAcentral.
GACGAACCGUGCAAGCGUUAUUCGGAAUCACUGGGCUUAAAGGGCGCGUAGGCGGGCCGCCAGGUCCGGGGUGAAAGCCUCCAGCUCAACUGGAGAAGUGCCUUGGAUACCGGCGGCCUCGAGGGAGGUAGGGGCGUGCGGAACUUCGGGUGGAGCGGUGAAAUGCGUAGAUAUCCGAAGGAACACCGGUGGCGAAAGCGGCGCGCUAGAUCUCUUCUGACGCUGAGGCGCGAAAGCCAGGGGAGCAAACGGG